GGGUUGUGAGGUUAAGCGACUAAGCGUACACGGUGGAUGCCCUGGCAGUCAGAGGCGAUGAAGGACGUGCUAAUCUGCGAUAAGCGUCGGUAAGGUGAUAUGAACCGUUAUAACCGGCGAUUUCCGAAUGGGGAAACCCAGUGUGUUUCGACACACUAUCAUUAACUGAAUCCAUAGGUUAAUGAGGCGAACCGGGGGAACUGAAACAUCUAAGUACCCCGAGGAAAAGAAAUCAACCGAGAUUCCCCAGUAGCGGCGAGCGAACGGGGAGCAGCCCAGAGCCUGAAUCAGUAUGUGUGUUAGUGGAAGCGUCUGGAAAGGCGCGCGAUACAGGGUGACAGCCCCGUACACAAAAAUGCACAUGCUGUGAGCUCGAUGAGUAGGGCGGGACACGUGGUAUCCUGUCUGAAUAUGGGGGGACCAUCCUCCAAGGCUAAAUACUCCUGACUGACCGAUAGUGAACCAGUACCGUGAGGGAAAGGCGAAAAGAACCCCGGCGAGGGGAGUGAAAAAGAACCUGAAACCGUGUACGUACAAGCAGUGGGAGCACGCUUAGGCGUGUGACUGCGUACCUUUUGUAUAAUGGGUCAGCGACUUAUAUUCUGUAGCAAGGUUAACCGAAUAGGGGAGCCGAAGGGAAACCGAGUCUUAACUGGGCGUUAAGUUGCAGGGUAUAGACCCGAAACCCGGUGAUCUAGCCAUGGGCAGGUUGAAGGUUGGGUAACACUAACUGGAGGACCGAACCGACUAAUGUUGAAAAAUUAGCGGAUGACUUGUGGCUGGGGGUGAAAGGCCAAUCAAACCGGGAGAUAGCUGGUUCUCCCCGAAAGCUAUUUAGGUAGCGCCUCGUGAAUUCAUCUCCGGGGGUAGAGCACUGUUUCGGCAAGGGGUCAUCCCGACUUACCAACCCGAUGCAAACUGCGAAUACCGGAGAAUGUUAUCACGGGAGACACACGGCGGGUGCUAACGUCCGUCGUGAAGAGGGAAACAACCCAGACCGCCAGCUAAGGUCCCAAAGUCAUGGUUAAGUGGGAAACGAUGUGGGAAGGCCCAGACAGCCAGGAUGUUGGCUUAGAAGCAGCCAUCAUUUAAAGAAAGCGUAAUAGCUCACUGGUCGAGUCGGCCUGCGCGGAAGAUGUAACGGGGCUAAACCAUGCACCGAAGCUGCGGCAGCGACGCUUAUGCGUUGUUGGGUAGGGGAGCGUUCUGUAAGCCUGUGAAGGUGUACUGUGAGGUAUGCUGGAGGUAUCAGAAGUGCGAAUGCUGACAUAAGUAACGAUAAAGCGGGUGAAAAGCCCGCUCGCCGGAAGACCAAGGGUUCCUGUCCAACGUUAAUCGGGGCAGGGUGAGUCGACCCCUAAGGCGAGGCCGAAAGGCGUAGUCGAUGGGAAACAGGUUAAUAUUCCUGUACUUGGUGUUACUGCGAAGGGGGACGGAGAAGGCUAUGUUGGCCGGGCGACGGUUGUCCCGGUUUAAGCGUGUAGGCUGGUUUUCCAGGCAAAUCCGGAAAAUCAAGGCUGAGGCGUGAUGACGAGGCACUACGGUGCUGAAGCAACAAAUGCCCUGCUUCCAGGAAAAGCCUCUAAGCAUCAGGUAACAUCAAAUCGUACCCCAAACCGACACAGGUGGUCAGGUAGAGAAUACCAAGGCGCUUGAGAGAACUCGGGUGAAGGAACUAGGCAAAAUGGUGCCGUAACUUCGGGAGAAGGCACGCUGAUAUGUAGGUGAAGCGACUUGCUCGUGGAGCUGAAAUCAGUCGAAGAUACCAGCUGGCUGCAACUGUUUAUUAAAAACACAGCACUGUGCAAACACGAAAGUGGACGUAUACGGUGUGACGCCUGCCCGGUGCCGGAAGGUUAAUUGAUGGGGUCAGCGCAAGCGAAGCUCUUGAUCGAAGCCCCGGUAAACGGCGGCCGUAACUAUAACGGUCCUAAGGUAGCGAAAUUCCUUGUCGGGUAAGUUCCGACCUGCACGAAUGGCGUAAUGAUGGCCAGGCUGUCUCCACCCGAGACUCAGUGAAAUUGAACUCGCUGUGAAGAUGCAGUGUACCCGCGGCAAGACGGAAAGACCCCGUGAACCUUUACUAUAGCUUGACACUGAACAUUGAGCCUUGAUGUGUAGGAUAGGUGGGAGGCUUUGAAGUGUGGACGCCAGUCUGCAUGGAGCCGACCUUGAAAUACCACCCUUUAAUGUUUGAUGUUCUAACGUGGACCCGUAAUCCGGGUUGCGGACAGUGUCUGGUGGGUAGUUUGACUGGGGCGGUCUCCUCCUAAAGAGUAACGGAGGAGCACGAAGGUUGGCUAAUCCUGGUCGGACAUCAGGAGGUUAGUGCAAUGGCAUAAGCCAGCUUGACUGCGAGCGUGACGGCGCGAGCAGGUGCGAAAGCAGGUCAUAGUGAUCCGGUGGUUCUGAAUGGAAGGGCCAUCGCUCAACGGAUAAAAGGUACUCCGGGGAUAACAGGCUGAUACCGCCCAAGAGUUCAUAUCGACGGCGGUGUUUGGCACCUCGAUGUCGGCUCAUCACAUCCUGGGGCUGAAGUAGGUCCCAAGGGUAUGGCUGUUCGCCAUUUAAAGUGGUACGCGAGCUGGGUUUAGAACGUCGUGAGACAGUUCGGUCCCUAUCUGCCGUGGGCGCUGGAGAACUGAGGGGGGCUGCUCCUAGUACGAGAGGACCGGAGUGGACGCAUCACUGGUGUUCGGGUUGUCAUGCCAAUGGCACUGCCCGGUAGCUAAAUGCGGAAGAGAUAAGUGCUGAAAGCAUCUAAGCACGAAACUUGCCCCGAGAUGAGUUCUCCCUGACUCCUUGAGAGUCCUGAAGGAACGUUGAAGACGACGACGUUGAUAGGCCGGGUGUGUAAGCGCAGCGAUGCGUUGAGCUAACCGGUACUAAUGAACCGUGAGGCUUAACCUUACAACGCCGAAGCUGUU
RNAcentral lists this ribosomal RNA (2927 nucleotides) under Escherichia coli. RNAcentral's name for it is "bacterial LSU rRNA". It matches the Rfam family "Bacterial large subunit ribosomal RNA". Lineage: Bacteria; Pseudomonadati; Pseudomonadota; Gammaproteobacteria; Enterobacterales; Enterobacteriaceae. The record is from RNAcentral.